RNAcentral lists this transfer RNA (64 nucleotides) under Pseudorhynchus acuminatus. RNAcentral describes it as "tRNA-Phe". Lineage: Eukaryota; Metazoa; Arthropoda; Insecta; Orthoptera; Tettigoniidae. The record is from RNAcentral.
AUCUAAGUAGCUUAUAUAGAGUAUAACAUUGAAGAUGUUAGGGAAAUUUAUUUAUUCUUAGAUA